Molecule: long non-coding RNA, 448 nt
Filed under: Capsicum annuum
Lineage: Eukaryota; Viridiplantae; Streptophyta; Magnoliopsida; Solanales; Solanaceae
Description: long non-coding RNA (CANN_LNC011309)
Source: RNAcentral
GGCGUUCCGAUGGCAGUAGAACACUUUAGCCGUAUACGUCUUUCUAUUACCACAUACAUACCUCUUCAAGUAUCGACUAAAAAUGAGGAAAGAGACGGAAAACUUACUCAAAUUUGAAAGAGAACAAAAGUUAAAUGAAACAAAUAAAGAAACAUAGAAUCCUUAAUGAAUAAAAAAAUUAGAAAUUACCACUUCGGCAUAUGUCAUGUCUGUUACGUCCAACCUUAUAAUGAAUUCUGGCCCAUGUUCAUUAGGGUUGAGACGUAUUGGUCUGAACCUUGUCAUUUUCUUCGACGGUGGGGGAAGUUCAAUAGGGUUUGCAUUGAUAUUCUGUGGUGUAUUAUGGAGAUGAGUGGUAAGAUAUUUUCAGCUUUCCUUCAAAUAAAUAACUAAAGUAAAAGUUUUAUCUUAUUGAAACGGUUUUUGAAUUCCCCAAAAUACAUUUGGG